CUUCAGGAUAGCAUAAAAAUAUAUGGGGAUUAAUGAAACUAGACAUAAAACACAAAGUGUUACAAUUUUUGAAAACCUGGUGAAUGUUUUCAUUAUGCGAGUAUAUUAAAAAAAUAAAAAACAGGGGCCUGGCACUGUGGCAUAACAGGUUAGGAUUCUACCUGUGAGGCCAGCAUCCCAGGUGUGCCACAUUAGAGACCUGGCUGCUCCACUUCUGAUCCAGCUCCUUGCUAAUAUGCCUGUGAAAGAAUGAAGGAUGUACAAGUGCCUCAGCACUUGUGCCCCGUGAGAGAACUGGAAGGAACUCCAGGCUUCUGUCUUCGGCUUAUCCCAGCACCAUCCUGGCCUAGCACUUCCUCUCUCUGUAACUAUGCCUUUCAAAAAAAAAGUACCAAUUGUAAGGGAUUGCAUUAAAAUUGAAGAAACUUGUACAUAUGAAGGCAUGAUAAAACUUAAGACGUUAUCCAGGAUAUGGAAAUUAUAUAUCCAUAUUAUCAUUUUACAGAGAGUUCAACAAAUUAAUAGGGACAGAGAAACAACUCAGUGGAAAAAUUGACAAUGGAUCUGGAUAAUUCAUUCACAGAAUAUCAACUCUGAGAGGCCAUUAAACAAGAAGAUCCUCAACUUUACCAGAGCAAACGCAGGUGUGGCUUGAACUCACAGUAAAAUAGUAUGCAUACCAAUGAGAUUGGGGCAUUUCUCAUCCUCUUGAAGUGGGAAGCCAUAAAAUUAUUUGAAAAUGCAAUUCAUCUGUUACAUAAGAAAACUGAAGAGGUGGUAUUCCACAGGCGCUGCACCAUCACUCACAGAUCCCAGGAGCAAACGAGUGGAUGUGAAUCAUCAGAGUGCCUGGAAGAGCAUAAGUAGUCAAUACUUAAUAAGGGCAACAAUUAAAAACUCAAAUUAGGACUGUGGAAUUUCUAUUUAGUUUACAAAAAUAAGGUUGUCUGUUAGUAGAGAUGGAUAUUUUAUAAUAUAGACAUGGAAAGUCAUAUAUGACCAUAAUAGUAUUUGUAACUUUUGUAUAUUUAAAAUGAUUUUUUAAAAAACAGCAUGGCUUGUUUUUCUUGCUUUGUAUUCAAGGCUUUCUCUGGUUUUACUCAAUUAUGAAUAAAAUUUUUGCAUCAAUAUUUUUAGAGACA
Molecule: long non-coding RNA, 1142 nt
Filed under: Oryctolagus cuniculus (rabbit)
Lineage: Eukaryota; Metazoa; Chordata; Mammalia; Lagomorpha; Leporidae
Description: lncRNA (ENSOCUG00000039401.1)
Source: RNAcentral